This 253-nucleotide ribosomal RNA is filed under the name uncultured bacterium. Its description in RNAcentral is "partial 16S ribosomal RNA". It matches the Rfam family "Bacterial small subunit ribosomal RNA", at positions 524 to 776 of the family's 1533-position model. The record is from RNAcentral.
UACGGAGGGUGCAAGCGUUAUCCGGAUUCACUGGGUUUAAAGGGUGUGUAGGUGGCGCGCUAAGUCGGGUGUGAAAUUUCGGAGCUUAACUCCGAAACUGCAUUCGAUACUGGCGUGCUUGAGGACUGGAGAGGAGACUGGAAUUCAUGGUGUAGCAGUGAAAUGCGUAGAGAUCAUGAGGAAGACCAGUGGCGAAGGCGGGUCUCUGGACAGUUCCUGACACUGAGGCACGAAGGUCAGGGGAGCAAACGGG